UAAUACGGAGGAUGCGAGCGUUAUCCGGAUUUAUUGGGUUUAAAGGGUGCGUAGGCGGAAUAAUAAGUCAGUGGUGAAACCCUGCAGCUUAACUGUAGACUUGCCAUUGAUACUGUUUUUCUUGAGUAUGGUCAAGGCAGGCGGAAUGUGUAAUGUAGCGGUGAAAUGCUUAGAUAUUACACAGAACACCGAUAGCGAAGGCAGCUUGCUGGGCCGUUACUGACGCUGAUGCACGAAAGCGUGGGGAUCGAACAGG
This 256-nucleotide ribosomal RNA is filed under the name uncultured bacterium. Its description in RNAcentral is "partial 16S ribosomal RNA". It matches the Rfam family "Bacterial small subunit ribosomal RNA", at positions 521 to 776 of the family's 1533-position model. The record is from RNAcentral.